RNAcentral lists this ribosomal RNA (497 nucleotides) under uncultured bacterium. Its description in RNAcentral is "partial 16S ribosomal RNA". It matches the Rfam family "Bacterial small subunit ribosomal RNA", at positions 28 to 507 of the family's 1533-position model. The record is from RNAcentral.
GAUGAACGCUGGCGGCGUGCCUAAUACAUGCAAGUCGAGCGAACGGACGAGAAGCUUGCUUCUCUGAUGUUAGCGGCGGACGGGUGAGUAACACGUGGAUAACCUACCUAUAAGACUGGGAUAACUUCGGGAAACCGGAGCUAAUACCGGAUAAUAUUUUGAACCGCAUGGUUCAAAAGUGAAAGACGGUCUUGCUGUCACUUAUAGAUGGAUCCGCGCUGCAUUAGCUAGUUGGUAAGGUAACGGCUUACCAAGGCAACGAUGCAUAGCCGACCUGAGAGGGUGAUCGGCCACACUGGAACUGAGACACGGUCCAGACUCCUAAGGGAGGCAGCAGUAGGGAAUCUUCCGCAAUGGGCGAAAGCCUGACGGAGCAACGCCGCGUGAGUGAUGAAGGUCUUCGGAUCGUAAAACUCUGUUAUUAGGGAAGAACAUAUGUGUAAGUAACUGCGCACAUCUUGACGGUACCUAAUCAGAAAGCCACGGCUAACUACGUG